AUUUGACGCUGGCGGCGUGCCUAACACAUGCAAGUCGAUCGGUAACAGGUGUAGCAAUACAUGCUGACGAGAGGCGGACGGGUGAGUAACGCUUGGGAAUCUGCCUAUUAGUGGGGGACAACCCGGGGAAACUCGGGCUAAUACCGCAUACGCUCUACGGAGGAAAGCCGGGGACCGCAAGGCCUGGCGCUAAUAGAUGAGCCCAAGUCGGAUUAGCUAGUUGGUAGGGUAAUGGCCUACCAAGGCGACGAUCCGUAGCUGGUCUGAGAGGACGACCAGCCACACUGGGACUGAGACACGGCCCAGACUCCUACGGGAGGCAGCAGUGGGGAAUAUUGGACAAUGGGGGAAACCCUGAUCCAGCGACGCCGCGUGGGUGAAGAAGGCCUGCGGGUUGUAAAGCCCUUUCGGUGGGGAAGAAAAGCCUCGACCUAACACGUCGGGGUAUUGACGUAACCCACAAAAGAAGCACCGGCUAACUCUGUGCCAGCAGCCGCGGUAAUACAGAGGGUGCGAGCGUUAAUCGGAAUUACUGGGCGUAAAGCGCGCGUAGGCGGCUAUACAAGUCGAGUGUGAAAUCCCCGGGCUCAACCUGGGAACUGCAUUCGAGACUGUAUGGCUUGAGUAUGGGAGAGGGAGGCGGAAUUUCAGGUGUAGCGGUGAAAUGCGUAGAUAUCUGAAGGAACAUCAGUGGCGAAAGCGGGCCUCCUGGACCAAUAC
This 720-nucleotide ribosomal RNA is filed under the name uncultured bacterium. RNAcentral's name for it is "bacterial SSU rRNA". It matches the Rfam family "Bacterial small subunit ribosomal RNA", at positions 28 to 740 of the family's 1533-position model. The record is from RNAcentral.